AGUUCAAACCAAUCAGACCAGCUGCAGCACAGUGAACUGUGGUCGGACAGAGGGAACUCUCACUCUGACAGUGACACUUCAUUGGUUCAGCAGACAGAGAUCACACCCACCAACUCAAGGGAUGUCAGAGAGGCCACGCCUCUUUUGUCCAAGUGGAGGUCUCGGUUCUGUUCACUGAUGUAGCACUCGGCUGUCUACUGAUUGAACAGUUCACCGAUUGUGUAUUGAUUGAUGACUGUUAUCAGUCUGACUGAACAAAGACUUUG
Molecule: long non-coding RNA, 266 nt
Organism: Stegastes partitus (bicolor damselfish)
Lineage: Eukaryota; Metazoa; Chordata; Actinopteri; Pomacentridae
Exons: 3
Source: RefSeq, a predicted model, not a curated record